AGAGGAUGACCGGCCACACUGGGACUGAGAUACGGCCCAGACUCCUACGGGAGGCAGCAGUCGAGAGGCUUCGGCAAUGGGGGAAACCCUGACCGAGCGACGCCGCGUGGAGGAUGAAGGCCUUUGGGUUGUAAACUCCUGUCAUGUGGGAAGAAACGCUAUCGUUCGAAUAGGGCGAUAGUUUGACGGUACCACAAGAGGAAGCUCCGGCUAACUCCGUGCCAGCAGCCGCGGUAAUACGGGGGGAGCGAACGUUGUUCGGAAUUACUGGGAGUAAAGCGCGCGUAGGCGGUUUGUUAAGUCAGCUGUGAAAGCCCCGGGCUCAACCUGGGAACUGCAGUUGAUACUGGCCGACUAGAGUACGAGAGAGGGAGGUAGAAUUCCAUGUGUAGCGGUGAAAUGCGUAGAUAUAUGGAGGAAUACCAGUGGCGAAGGCGGCCUCCUGGCUCGAUACUGACGCUGAGGUGCGAAAGCGUGGGGAUCA
This 484-nucleotide ribosomal RNA is filed under the name uncultured bacterium. RNAcentral describes it as "bacterial SSU rRNA". It matches the Rfam family "Bacterial small subunit ribosomal RNA", at positions 295 to 770 of the family's 1533-position model. The record is from RNAcentral.